GCCUUUUUCUUCUGUGUUGGGGGGUGUGGGGCAGAGAGAGGAGGGGGUCUGGAGGAAGCCCCUGCCCACUUGCAGAGCCUAUCAGGUGUCCACAUGCCCUCAGGGCUUACCUUCAUGGUAGGUUGGCUUCAGGUUCCCAGUGGGGCCGUGUCGUGAGGCCCUGGUCGGUGGCCAGAAGGAAGGGCAGGGCCAGACUGUCUCCCUCUCUCUGCCUGCCGGCUCCCUGGGCCUCCUCUGCCUGGUGGGCCAGCGCUGGUCCCCACAGGUCGUGGUGAAGUGGAAGGGGUGACCCAGGCUGGGCCCAGUGAGCCCCGGGUCCCGAGAGUGUUGUUGUUUCUGCCAAGAGCAAGGGCCAUCUGACGGCUCGCAACCCUGCCUUGAGUGUGAGUGUCCGUCACCGUCACCGUCAUUCUACCAGCCUGACAGCCAGGGCCACUGCAUGGGUCCUAGGAGCUUUCCUCUAGGAGUUGGACAUUGGUGAUAAGUUUAUGAGGCAGUGCUGAGCCUCACAGAGGUACGGGGUGGAGUGUCCCCUUCCUGUGCCCAGCUGAGCCCACUUGUGGGGAGCGCCUGGCCAACCUCAUACUUGUGCUGACCAGGACCUGCUUCUCGGGGUGACCCAGACCGUGGGUGGGCAGUGGGACAGGGAUGGGCUCUCCCAGCGGCAGAACUCCUGGUGUAGAUGUCCAGGCCUAGGUCCCUGCAGAAUCUGUACUUGGCCGGGUCCCCCGACUUCACGUGCAGGUUACGUUUGCCAAGCACAGGCUCACAGCACACCUAGAGACCAGCAAACCUGAAAGACCCCCCCCCCCAGCCCGCCAGCUCCAGUUCCGUUUGGGGGGUGGCAGUUGUAAAACGUAUGAUUUUUAUCUUGACAG
Mirounga angustirostris (Northern elephant seal) is the source of this 878-nucleotide long non-coding RNA. RefSeq lists it as uncharacterized. The record is from RefSeq and is a predicted model, not a curated record. The transcript has 2 exons. NCBI's taxonomy places the organism in Eukaryota, Metazoa, Chordata, Mammalia, Carnivora, Phocidae.